RNAcentral lists this ribosomal RNA (493 nucleotides) under uncultured bacterium. RNAcentral's name for it is "partial 16S ribosomal RNA". It matches the Rfam family "Bacterial small subunit ribosomal RNA", at positions 30 to 523 of the family's 1533-position model. The record is from RNAcentral.
AUUGAACGCUGGCGGCAUGCUUUACACAUGCAAGUCGAACGGUAACAGGUUAAGCUGACGAGUGGCGAACGGGUGAGUAAUGCAUCGGAACGUGCCCGAUCGUGGGGGAUAACACUUCGAAAGAAGUGCUAAUACCGCAUACGAUCUGAGGAUGAAAGCGGGGGACCGUAAGGCCCCGCGCGAUCGGAGCGGCCGAUGUCAGAUUAGGUAGUUGGUGGGGUAAAGGCUCACCAAGCCGACGAUCUUUAGCUGGUCUGAGAGGACGACCAGCCACACUGGGACUGGGACACGGCCCAGACUCCUGCGGUAGGCAGCGGUGGGGAAGUUUGGAAAACGGGCGCAAGCCUGAUCCAGCAAUGCCGCGUGAGGGAAGAAGUCCUUCGGGUUGUAAACUGCUUUUGUACGGAGCGAAAAGGCUCCCUCUAAUACAGGGGGCUCAUGACGGUACCGUAAGAAUAAGCACCGGCUAACUACGUGCCAGCAGCCGCCGUAA